AAGCGGAGGAAAAGAAACUAACAAGGAUUCCCCUAGUAACGGCGAGUGAACCGGGAAGAGCUCAAAUUUGUAAUCUGGCGUCCUCAGGGCGUCCGAGUUGUAAUCUACAGAAGUGUUUUCCGUGCCGGACCAUGUCCAAGUCCCUUGGAACAGGGUAUCAAAGAGGGUGACAAUCCCGUGCUUGACAUGAUCCCCGGUGCUAUGUGAUACAUUUUCUACGAGUCGAGUUGUUUGGGAAUGCAGCUCAAAAUGGGUGGUGAAUUCCAUCUAAAGCUAAAUAUUGGCGAGAGACCGAUAGCGAACAAGUACCGUGAGGGAAAGAUGAAAAGCACUUUGGAAAGAGAGUUAAACAGUACGUGAAAUUGUUGAAAGGGAAACGAUUGAAGUCAGUCGUGACCAUUGGUUUCAGCCGGCUCUGCCGGUGUAUUACCUUUGGUCGGGUCAACAUCAGUUUGGAUCGGUGGAUAAGGGUAGCAGGAAUGUGGCACCUCCGGGUGUGUUAUAGCCUGUUGCCGCAUACAUCGGUCUGGACUGAGGAAUGCAGC
This 545-nucleotide ribosomal RNA is filed under the name Cryptococcus sp. NFMay08DNXL-Y1. Its description in RNAcentral is "LSU rRNA". It matches the Rfam family "Eukaryotic large subunit ribosomal RNA", at positions 48 to 599 of the family's 3401-position model. The record is from RNAcentral. Lineage: Eukaryota; Fungi; Basidiomycota; Tremellomycetes; Tremellales; Cryptococcaceae.